CACACCUAUAACAACUAUUGACUCUGAUUUCCCUGAUACAGUACAGGACAGUGCUCUCCUAAAGGCAAAGCACACGAAUGACGUUGGUUAACUCUCAGCCUCCAACUGGGCCUGAGACUGAGGAUUGAGAGCUUCCUGCUCGUGCCUCAGAAGUCAAGGUUGUGCCUAAGACCAAGGACCAAAACCAGGGCUCGAAGUUACCAAGCCACCCUGGACAACGGCGAACAGUCACUCAACCACUGCUCCCUGUUGAGGGAUCAGAAAAUGAAACUCAGCCGCCGAAUGACAACAAUCCCUUCCUGGUUGCGUUCCAACUGGGAAGAAGGGGGGUGAGUGAAACGGGGACACAUGAGGUGGAUGCAACAGCAAUAUUGUCAUUGGAAAUGUGAAACUAGAGUAAUUGUUGACAAAUGCCUAGGUGGUUUAGGUUGAUAGAACCAGGGUUUAUUGAUGACAUUAACGAUGUUUGUUGGCUCUGAGUUAACACCUCCCAGAGUCCACUGCCCGUGCAUGGAGAACAACUGGCGAGUAGCAGAGGAAAAUAGGGUUUGGUGAUGUAUGCCUACAUCCACAUUGUUUCUGAUGGAGUUUCACAAAAGCUAUGACUAAACUAAACAUCCUAAGCUUGAAGCUGUUAUGACUGUAUAUCCAUCUCUCUGUCCCGGUUUCUAUAAAACUCACCUCCAUUAUGAUGACGGAGUCAAUAGGACUCUCCCCUGAACACAGAAGUAUCCUGUUCCUGGACUGUAUCUAAUUCCAGGAGAGGGAAAAACCAGAUCCAGAUCCAGGGGUCGAGCCAGGGAAGGUUCACCAAAGAGGGCCAGCACCAGAGACCAUCGACCUCCAAUAGCCCCACUGUGCAGCUGCUAAAAGACGUGCAGCUGAGCGAGCAGGGGACGAUCCUGGCAGACCCCAUAGACCCCACACCCACACUGCAGAAUCCCCUUCCCGAGCAAACUGCUCGGUGAGGGAGAGGUAAGUGGGCUGACACGAGAUGUUUUAGGACAAGGGGGGAGCAAAGCAGAGUUCAUGCAAUAUGAAGGGCACAUGCCGUCACCCAGGUAAUCCACUUCAAGCUAAACCAAACCACAGAAAACCUCGAGGAGGCUCCUCGCAAGAGGCGGGCUUUCAAGUCUGAUGUAACGAUUGAUGCCAUAGGUCAGCCAAGGGGGGUGCCCAACGACUUUAAAGCAAGAAAUGAGGUGGCGUCAGGGUUUGAGUCCAUCUUACCCUGGAUAACGGUAAAUAAGAACACUGAAUGGAUUAAUUACCUGUACUAUAAUCAGCAGCGUUUCAUUAACUAUACAGACGAGGCUCUCACCGCCCUGGGCCAGCAGCUGUCGUCAACAUCAGCAAUGACCUGGCAGAACCGACAGGUAUUGGACUGGCUGCUGGCGGAGCGUGGGGGGGUGUGCACUCUGAUUGGUCAGGUAUGUUGCACAUUCAUACCAAACAACACUGCCCCUACAGGAAGAUUCGCACAAGCUAUGACUGACUUAAAAGCACUGAGACAGGAGGUGAAGGAUAAUGCAGGACACAAGACUGAAUGGUUUGAACUGAUGAGGGAGAGCUUGGGAGAUUGGGGGUUUAGCUGGGUAAGAAUAGGGAUUGCAGUGCUGCUGACCUUAUUGGCCAUUGUAUUGAUUCUCUGCUGUUGCAUACCCAUCUUCCGGUCUCGUGUCAAAACCCACUAUGCCUGCCCCAUUGUAGCUAAGAUGAAGGAGUUGGAUGACUCACAUGCUUUUUCUCUGUUUAAGAGCAAGCCUUCUGCCCCGGACUUGUACCCUGUCCAGGUGGCGGAGGGACAAAGUGGCUGAAUGAUGUCCCAAACCAGGCCACACCGGGCGAUGCCAAAUCAAUCGAGCCGCUUCGAGGCCGUGGAACAUCGCUCAAUGAGUAUACCAAGCACAUAAUUUUGUUUGUUUUAUGAGUUUAAUUUUUGUUUUAUUAAUUGAGUGGUGUAUAUGUAACUCAGUGAUUUGUGCAUUAAUCAGUGUAGGUUUGUGGAGGACUGCCCUCCCAAACCCAUUUCUGUUGAAUCAUCCAUGGUUUCUCCCCCCAUUAAAAGAGCGAGGCCUAAAAAGCCGGGGGGAGUUUUACUCCAGGAUCUGAUGAUACAGAGGAGCAAAGGCAAUUCUGAACAGAUAUUUGAGUACUGCAUAUGUUGUUGUAAACUUUAUGUGUGGACUUGAUGUUUGAUCAUAUACCAUCGUGUUUUUGUGAAACUGUAUUUGAGGGUCUGGGGGUAUUUACCUAGCCAAAGGAAGGUUAUAUACUCACACAUAUUGCAGGCUUACAACCAUAUGAGUAGACUGAGCCAAGGCUUCCCUCAGACUGGGGACCUUGUUUACACAACAUGAAUUUGGACAGUUUCAUUACAGGCAAACACUAGCUUACUAUUCUACCAUAUACUCGCCUAUUACUCAAAAGAAUUAAGGAAAAUUGGGUCUGAGGAGUUUUGUUUUUUUCAAUGUUUAAAUGUUUUACAGGCUACACAGAAAAAUAGAUUAUGGGAGGAGUAGUGUGGGCAAAAUGCCCACAAAGGGGGGAGUGUGGAGGAUUUUUGGUGUAAGGUGACCUCAAGAAAGGAGUCAACUAGGACAGGGGUUAGAUGAGGAGAGGAAAUAGCCCACGUAGGGAACUAGGCCAGGAAAGGAGACUUGUUUAUCCCAUGUUUAUCCCCAUGUAAGGAAUUAGGUGAGAGAGGAGGCUGUUUGGGUCCCAUGCUCGAUAAUGAGGAGAAGAGUGAGCUGGGAGAGUCACUCUCCCCCUCCCGUUAGAAUGUUCUUUUCAGAGAAGAAGUCAGGUCGGGAUGACCUGAUAGGGAAAUGUUGCUCGAGUGAGACCACGGGUUGUGCAAGAAUGACCACGGGUUGUCUAAGGACAGCCAAGUGAGGGAGGACAUCUGUUUAUCUUGAACAAACUGUGUGAUUGUCUGAUAGUUGCCAAACAUAUUUGUGUGACGUAGAAAGACUGUAUAAAAGUUCUUGUCUAUUGAAUGCAUGUCGGACCUCCCUGGCUAGGGAGGCUCGGCGUAUGAGAGACUUCCCUGGCUAGAGAAGUUCUGCGCAUGAUUUCCAAUCUGCCUGGCAACAAUAAAGACAAGACCUUUGCAAUCAAUCUUCUGACUCCAAGCCUGUUAAUUCUUGCUUCACUAAGAACCACUUUCGAGACCCCAACAAGAGCUAUUUAACCUACCUGAGCAGACAUUCAAGAAGAAGAAUGUGCGUCGCUCGCGGACGCUGACUCAGAACAGACGUUGAAGGUCACUUGGAAAAUCUACAUACAUUGAUUCAUAGACAUACGUCUAUGCAUUGAGGACCGUCGAGAAGGAUGGUUCUGGUUCAUCCUGGUUCUGGUUCUGAUGGAGGUUUCUUCCUGUUAAAAGGGAGUUUUUUUCUUUUCACAGCUAUCUCUGCACGCUCAGAAGGGGAGAUUGGAUUGGAAAGAAAUUUCACAGCAAUUUCCUUAUCAUAGUCACUUUUUUAACUGGCUACAUAUGAAAUGGACUAAUUUGGAAUUUAAUGAAUUUGAUUGGAUUUGAUUAUCAGUGGAUUGUAAUGACUUGGACUUUACAUGGCCUGAAUGGUAUCUCUGAAGUACUCUGAGUUGACAUUUGUUGUGAUUUGGCGCAACAUAAAUAAAACUAUUAAUGAACAUGUAGGCCUACAUGUAAAUAUGUGUAUCAUACAACAUUUAAAGUACUGAAACAUAUCUUUAUUGAAAUGAUAAAUCAAGGUUGAUUCUGUCCAGGGUGUCUUAAAGCACUUUUCCCUCUGCUUGUCACUAGUAUUGCAAGAACUGAACCUUGCACUACUAGAUAUAGUCAAUAUUUUUGACUGGUACUGUGUAUAGGCUACACAUAUAUGCAUAUAUAUAUAAAUACACAUAUUUGUAUGUGCGUCACCGUCUCUCUGGCUCUGCUCCCUGCCUUUGUUGGUUCAUUUCAGACCCUUUCUCUCCCCCUCUCUCUUCUCUGCAAUCUAGUCAACUGCACUCACCUGUUUUCCUUCCUUUAUAAGCAGGUCUGCUAGCCCCAUUUUUCUCUACCAGGUUGUCUGCAACCUGAACCUCAGCACAUUAAGUCUUUUGGGCCUGGUUUUCUAUCUCUCUUGGAUCUCUGGAUUUCUGCACCUGCUCUGUUUCUUUGCUAUUCUUGAUCCUGCGUAUAACCCAGUUUCUGUAUUGAGUUUGAUUGUAAGGAUUUGGGGUUUGACUAUUUAGGGAUGUCCAAAGUCGGUCCUCAAGGGCCGCUGCCCUGCAGGUUUUAGAUUCUUCCCUGUGUAACAAGGUAAAAAUGAAACUAAGUACCUUUAGUGAACUUUCUCCAAAAUCUUUGCAGUAUUUAAUAUUUCUUUUUGGUUCCAUUACUGGGUUCAGUAUUGUUCCCGGUGGGGCAAUAAUUGAGGUUGCGCACUUUCAGACUGUCCCUCGUGUGGAAGUCUGUUACAGGGCAUGCCUCAAAUGGCUCCCAUAAACUCUCCUGGAUGUCCAGGAGAGCUCCAUUUGACAGCAGGACCUCCAGCUGUCCUUCGGUGCUGCCCUCUGCCACACCCAGGACCUCCACCCCGACUGCCUCCUGUGUCACGGUCACCAUCUCCCAAAAUAAAUAUUACUUAUGUCUCAUGACAUCUUGCGAUCAAAUAGUAAACUAUUUUCUUUCUUUUUUUUCAUUUCAAUGAUAUCACUUGUCCCGUUAUAUCUGCAUGAUACAUUUCAGUGUUGAAAACCACAACCAUUUACAUGGCUUAAUGAAAUAUACUCAAUGCCCUGUCAUGAUCUGCUCAGGAGAUUAAUGCCUAACAAGGACACCUAUGAUUGUAUACCUAAUGUUGUAUACCUAAUUCAACACAUUUAAGUUUUUUUCACAUUAUCCUUAAUGAUGGUCUGUCUUAACUACACAUACUUCUGUUAAAAUAGAUUAUUUUACAUUUAAUGCAUUGAAUUUAACCCACAUUUAUUUAUAUCAAUGUCCUUGUUAAUAGGAAUUGUGAUUUACCUUUAUGUUGGUGUGGGCAGUUGACUGCAGCAAAUCACCUCCUGCAGCCCUACUCGUCAGGUGCGAGAAGUUGUAGGUGCUGCCAAGCACCAGCUCCUCAACCGCAGCAUCGCGCCAAAGAUUUAUGGUGACAUCAGAUUUAUCCUGGAGAUAACACAGAAUGAUACAUUAGAACUACAUAAGAGUUCUACUUGAAGAUCUGAAGAAAAAAAGAUUGAGAAGAGUCUAAUUCAUUUGGUCCUGUAAAAGACAACAAUGAGCAAGAGUUUUGACAAUUAUGAUAAUGAAUUUAAUUCAGUAUGUGUAACCGUGUCUUUACUUUCUGCUACAACACUUUUAUAAUUCAACAGUGAAAUUCUGAUAUUGAGCAGUUCCUUGCCUUCACUGAUAUUUGUUGACCUAAAGAUAUCACUGUAAACGUAUUCAGAUUUUUAGCAAUCCAACAAACCUGCAACAUGUAAUUUAACUGCUAAAGUUUCAGCUAUUCCCACUAAGCAAUGCUGUGAUAUAUUACAUGGAUAUAGUGAGCAAUACACAUUAUAAUGCAGAAAAUGCUUUUUAAAAAGCCAUUUCUAUUGUGUUUGGCAGGAAACUGUUUAAAUGCUUGGCACCAUGGAACUGUUUGAAAGUACUGACAACUUUGUAUGACAACUCUCUAUUACAAGGAUGAUGAAACAGGCAAUUUUGAAUUUUU
Long non-coding RNA from Hypomesus transpacificus, 5693 nucleotides. RefSeq lists it as uncharacterized. The transcript has 2 exons. The record is from RefSeq and is a predicted model, not a curated record. NCBI's taxonomy places the organism in Eukaryota, Metazoa, Chordata, Actinopteri, Osmeriformes, Osmeridae.